UACGUAGGGCGCAAGCGUUGUCCGGAAUUAUUGGGCGUAAAGAGCUCGUAGGCGGUCUGUUACGUCUGCUGUGAAAACCCGGGGCUUAACCCCGGGCUUGCAGUGGAUACGGGCAGACUAGAGGCAGGUAGGGGAGAAUGGAAUUCCCGGUGUAGCGGUGAAAUGCGCAGAUAUCGGGAGGAACACCGGUGGCGAAGGCGGGUCUCUGGACAGUUCCUGACGCUGAGGCACGAAGGCCAGGGGAGCAAACGGG
This 253-nucleotide ribosomal RNA is filed under the name uncultured bacterium. Its description in RNAcentral is "partial 16S ribosomal RNA". It matches the Rfam family "Bacterial small subunit ribosomal RNA", at positions 524 to 776 of the family's 1533-position model. The record is from RNAcentral.